CGUAACGGGUGAGUAAUGCGUGACCAACCUCGCCCCAUGCUCCAGAAUAGCUCUUGGAAACGGGUGGUAAUGCUGGAUGCUCCAACUUGACGCAUGUCUUGUUGGGAAAGUGUUUAGUGGCAUGGGGUGGGGUCGCGUCCUAUCAGCUUGUAGGCGGGGUAAUGGCCCACCUAGGCUUCGACGGGUAGCCGGCCUGAGAGGGCGGACGGCCACAUUGGGACUGAGAUACGGCCCAGACUCCUACGGGAGGCAGCAGGG
Molecule: ribosomal RNA, 258 nt
Filed under: uncultured Gardnerella sp.
Lineage: Bacteria; Bacillati; Actinomycetota; Actinomycetes; Bifidobacteriales; Bifidobacteriaceae
Description: partial 16S ribosomal RNA
Rfam family: Bacterial small subunit ribosomal RNA
Source: RNAcentral